CCAGCUGCUAGCUAACCUAUGCUCACAUUUCGAGAGUGUGUUCAGGCCUUUUCCUUUACUGCUUUGUUCACACAGCUUAAACAAAAGUGUUAUUUCUUCUAGGCAGGCUGUCUUUAUCUGCUUGGUGUUUGCCACCGGUCAGAAGAGAAGAAAAGCUGUGCUGCUGUUCUGUUGGACCAUGGAAAGGGCACAGCUAGCACGUGGGCAAUGAGGCUCUGCCCUGUCCAUGCAGCAGGCAACAAAAAUGGUCACUAUUCCCAGCUUUUAUUCUUCAAAUUCUAAUUUGUGGAGAGCAGAGCAAUAUCUGAAUCAUCUCUUAAUGAAAAGCAUCAGUUUUGCACAAGGACAGCAGAGAUUAUUUACAAGGAAAGCGGGUCUGCUGGUUAGUGAUGGCUGUCAUCAUUGAGUGCCCCAGAAUUUGUAUGUUAAACAAAGUGCCACUCAUGGAUGGGCAAAAGUAGCAACCUCCAGCUUCACAAAAUCUCUGCCUGCUUUCUCCAGCUGUGCUGAAAACCCUUUUCCCAUUUAAGCUAGUACUUGAACCGGUGUUCACUAGUAGAGAAGAGCUCAUUUGGAGGUAACACAUAUUCUUUCUAACAGAUUUGCCAGCUUAAUUUUCAGAAAUACUGUGCUUUCCUGGUUUCUUCUGAUGAUAAUGUGGGCUGCAUUUGUUCUGAUGCUGAGAGAACUGAAAUGCCCUGAAUAAAAGCACCUGUGCUGAAUGACA
This 727-nucleotide long non-coding RNA is filed under the name Calidris pugnax (ruff). RNAcentral describes it as "lncRNA (ENSCPUG00000013037.1)". The record is from RNAcentral. Lineage: Eukaryota; Metazoa; Chordata; Aves; Charadriiformes; Scolopacidae.